UACGUAGGGUGCGAGCGUUGUCCGGAAUUACUGGGCGUAAAGAGCUCGUAGGCGGCUUGUCGCGUCGUCCGUGAAAACCUGCGGCUCAACUGCAGGCUGGCGGUCGAUACGGGCAGGCUGGAGUUCGGUAGGGGAGACUGGAAUUCCUGGUGUGAGCGGUGAAAUGCGUAGAGAUGUGGAGGAACACCGAUGGCGAAGGCAGCCCCCUGGGUCAAGAU
RNAcentral lists this ribosomal RNA (218 nucleotides) under uncultured bacterium. RNAcentral's name for it is "partial 16S ribosomal RNA". It matches the Rfam family "Bacterial small subunit ribosomal RNA", at positions 524 to 740 of the family's 1533-position model. The record is from RNAcentral.